RNAcentral lists this ribosomal RNA (785 nucleotides) under Circinaria crespiana. RNAcentral describes it as "eukaryotic LSU rRNA". It matches the Rfam family "Eukaryotic large subunit ribosomal RNA", at positions 196 to 1001 of the family's 3401-position model. Lineage: Eukaryota; Fungi; Ascomycota; Lecanoromycetes; Pertusariales; Megasporaceae. The record is from RNAcentral.
CAGGGCGUCAUAGAGGGUGAGAAUCCCGUAUGUGGCCGGCGGUCAAUUCCAUGUGAAACCCCUUCGACGAGUCGAGUUGUUUGGGAAUGCAGCUCAAAAUGGGUGGUAAAUUUCAUCUAAAGCUAAAUACCGGCCAGAGACCGAUAGCGCACAAGUAGAGUGAUCGAAAGAUGAAAAGCACUUUGGAAAGAGAGUUAAAAAGUACGUGAAAUUGUUGAAAGGGAAGCGCUUGCAAUCAGACUUGCUCGCGGAUGAUCAGCCUCCCGUUCGCGGGGGGUGCACUCGCCCGCGAUCAGGCCAGCAUCGGUUUCGACGGGCGGAUAAAGGCCCCAGGAAUGUAGCUCCCCUCGGGGAGUGUUAUAGCCUGGGGUGCCAUGCGCCCCGUUGGGACCGAGGACCGCGCUUCGGCUAGGAUGCUGGCGUAAUGGUUGUAAGCGACCCGUCUUGAAACACGGACCAAGGAGUCUAACAUCUAUGCGAGUGUUUGGGUGUUAAACCCAUGCGCGGAAUGAAAGUGAACGGAGGUGGGAACCCCCUUCCAGGGGCGCACCAUCGACCGAUCCAGAUGUCUUCGGAUGGAUUUGAGUAGGAGCAUAGCUGUUGGGACCCGAAAGAUGGUGAACUAUGCCUGGAUAGGGUGAAGCCAGAGGAAACUCUGGUGGAGGCUCGCAGCGGUUCUGACGUGCAAAUCGAUCGUCAAAUCUGGGUAUAGGGGCGAAAGACUAAUCGAACCAUCUAGUAAAUCGCUACUAGAAACACUGAUGGAAAAGAGGCUGUAAAUGCCU